Molecule: ribosomal RNA, 1372 nt
Filed under: uncultured bacterium
Lineage: Bacteria
Description: bacterial SSU rRNA
Rfam family: Bacterial small subunit ribosomal RNA
Source: RNAcentral
GAUGAACGCUGGCGGCGUGCCUAAUACAUGCAAGUCGAGCGAACGGACGAGAAGCUUGCUUUUCUGAUGUUAGCGGCGGACGGGUGAGUAACACGUGGAUAACCUACCUAUAAGACUGGGAUAACUUCGGGAAACCGGAGCUAAUACCGGAUAAUAUUUUGAACCGCAUGGUUCAAAAGUGAAAGACGGUCUUGCUGUCACUUAUAGAUGGAUCCGCGCUGCAUUAGCUAGUUGGUAAGGUAACGGCUUACCAAGGCAACGAUGCAUAGCCGACCUGAGAGGGUGAUCGGCCACACUGGAACUGAGACACGGUCCAGACUCCUACGGGAGGCAGCAGUAGGGAAUCUUCCGCAAUGGGCGAAAGCCUGACGGAGCAACGCCGCGUGAGUGAUGAAGGUCUUCGGAUCGUAAAACUCUGUUAUUAGGGAAGAACAUAUGUGUAAGUAACUGUGCACAUCUUGACGGUACCUAAUCAGAAAGCCACGGCUAACUACGUGCCAGCAGCCGCGGUAAUACGUAGGUGGCAAGCGUUAUCCGGAAUUAUUGGGCGUAAAGCGCGCGUAGGCGGUUUUUUAAGUCUGAUGUGAAAGCCCACGGCUCAACCGUGGAGGGUCAUUGGAAACUGGAAAACUUGAGUGCAGAAGAGGAAAGUGGAAUUCCAUGUGUAGCGGUGAAAUGCGCAGAGAUAUGGAGGAACACCAGCGGCGAAGGCGACUUUCUGGUCUGUAACUGACGCUGAUGUGCGAAAGCGUGGGGAUCAAACAGGAUUAGAUACCCUGGUAGUCCACGCCGUAAACGAUGAGUGCUAAGUGUUAGGGGGUUUCCGCCCCUUAGUGCUGCAGCUAACGCAUUAAGCACUCCGCCUGGGGAGUACGACCGCAAGGUUGAAACUCAAAGGAAUUGACGGGGACCCGCACAAGCGGUGGAGCAUGUGGUUUAAUUCGAAGCAACGCGAAGAACCUUACCAAAUCUUGACAUCCUUUGACAACUCUAGAGAUAGAGCCUUCCCCUUCGGGGGACAAAGUGACAGGUGGUGCAUGGUUGUCGUCAGCUCGUGUCGUGAGAUGUUGGGUUAAGUCCCGCAACGAGCGCAACCCUUAAGCUUAGUUGCCAUCAUUAAGUUGGGCACUCUAAGUUGACUGCCGGUGACAAACCGGAGGAAGGUGGGGAUGACGUCAAAUCAUCAUGCCCCUUAUGAUUUGGGCUACACACGUGCUACAAUGGACAAUACAAAGGGCAGCGAAACCGCGAGGUCAAGCAAAUCCCAUAAAGUUGUUCUCAGUUCGGAUUGUAGUCUGCAACUCGACUACAUGAAGCUGGAAUCGCUAGUAAUCGUAGAUCAGCAUGCUACGGUGAAUACGUUCCCGGGUCU